Molecule: ribosomal RNA, 164 nt
Filed under: Solanum usaramense
Lineage: Eukaryota; Viridiplantae; Streptophyta; Magnoliopsida; Solanales; Solanaceae
Description: 5.8S ribosomal RNA
Rfam family: 5.8S ribosomal RNA
About the family: 5.8S ribosomal RNA (5.8S rRNA) is a component of the large subunit of the eukaryotic ribosome. It is transcribed by RNA polymerase I as part of the 45S precursor that also contains 18S and 28S rRNA.
Source: RNAcentral
AAAACAACUCUCGGCAACGGAUAUCUCGGCUCUCGCAUCGAUGAAGAACGUAGCGAAAUGCGAUACUUGGUGUGAAUUGCAGAAUCCCGUGAACCAUCGAGUCUUUGAACGCAAGUUGCGCCCGAAGCCGUCAGGCCGAGGGCACGUCUGCCUGGGCGUCACGC